RNAcentral lists this ribosomal RNA (349 nucleotides) under uncultured Pseudomonas sp. RNAcentral describes it as "bacterial SSU rRNA". It matches the Rfam family "Bacterial small subunit ribosomal RNA", at positions 1153 to 1501 of the family's 1533-position model. The record is from RNAcentral. Lineage: Bacteria; Pseudomonadati; Pseudomonadota; Gammaproteobacteria; Pseudomonadales; Pseudomonadaceae.
CGGUAACAAACCGGAGGAUGGUGGAGAUGACGUCAAGUCAUCAUGGCCCUUACGGCCAGGUCUACACACGUGCUACAAUGGUCGGUACAAAGGGUUGCCAAGCCGCGAGGUGGAGCUAAUCCCAUAAAACCGAUCGUAGUCCGGAUCGCAGUCUGCAACUCGACUGCGUGAAGUCGGAAUCGCUAGUAAUCGUGAAUCAGAAUGUCACGGUGAAUACGUUCCCGGGCCUUGUACACACCGCCCGUCACACCAUGGGAGUGGGUUGCUCCAGAAGUAGCUAGUCUAACCUUCGGGGGGACGGUUACCACGGAGUGAUUCAUGACUGGGGUGAAGUCGUAACAAGGUAACA